This 2902-nucleotide ribosomal RNA is filed under the name Escherichia coli NCCP15648. RNAcentral's name for it is "bacterial LSU rRNA". It matches the Rfam family "Bacterial large subunit ribosomal RNA". The record is from RNAcentral. Lineage: Bacteria; Pseudomonadati; Pseudomonadota; Gammaproteobacteria; Enterobacterales; Enterobacteriaceae. RNAcentral also lists the same sequence under 2 other names.
UUAAGCGACUAAGCGUACACGGUGGAUGCCCUGGCAGUCAGAGGCGAUGAAGGACGUGCUAAUCUGCGAUAAGCGUCGGUAAGGUGAUAUGAACCGUUAUAACCGGCGAUUUCCGAAUGGGGAAACCCAGUGUGUUUCGACACACUAUCAUUAACUGAAUCCAUAGGUUAAUGAGGCGAACCGGGGGAACUGAAACAUCUAAGUACCCCGAGGAAAAGAAAUCAACCGAGAUUCCCCCAGUAGCGGCGAGCGAACGGGGAGCAGCCCAGAGCCUGAAUCAGUAUGUGUGUUAGUGGAAGCGUCUGGAAAGGCGCGCGAUACAGGGUGACAGCCCCGUACACAAAAAUGCACAUGCUGUGAGCUCGAUGAGUAGGGCGGGACACGUGGUAUCCUGUCUGAAUAUGGGGGGACCAUCCUCCAAGGCUAAAUACUCCUGACUGACCGAUAGUGAACCAGUACCGUGAGGGAAAGGCGAAAAGAACCCCGGCGAGGGGAGUGAAAAAGAACCUGAAACCGUGUACGUACAAGCAGUGGGAGCACGCUUAGGCGUGUGACUGCGUACCUUUUGUAUAAUGGGUCAGCGACUUAUAUUCUGUAGCAAGGUUAACCGAAUAGGGGAGCCGAAGGGAAACCGAGUCUUAACUGGGCGUUAAGUUGCAGGGUAUAGACCCGAAACCCGGUGAUCUAGCCAUGGGCAGGUUGAAGGUUGGGUAACACUAACUGGAGGACCGAACCGACUAAUGUUGAAAAAUUAGCGGAUGACUUGUGGCUGGGGGUGAAAGGCCAAUCAAACCGGGAGAUAGCUGGUUCUCCCCGAAAGCUAUUUAGGUAGCGCCUCGUGAAUUCAUCUCCGGGGGUAGAGCACUGUUUCGGCAAGGGGGUCAUCCCGACUUACCAACCCGAUGCAAACUGCGAAUACCGGAGAAUGUUAUCACGGGAGACACACGGCGGGUGCUAACGUCCGUCGUGAAGAGGGAAACAACCCAGACCGCCAGCUAAGGUCCCAAAGUCAUGGUUAAGUGGGAAACGAUGUGGGAAGGCCCAGACAGCCAGGAUGUUGGCUUAGAAGCAGCCAUCAUUUAAAGAAAGCGUAAUAGCUCACUGGUCGAGUCGGCCUGCGCGGAAGAUGUAACGGGGCUAAACCAUGCACCGAAGCUGCGGCAGCGACGCUUAUGCGUUGUUGGGUAGGGGAGCGUUCUGUAAGCCUGUGAAGGUGUACUGUGAGGUAUGCUGGAGGUAUCAGAAGUGCGAAUGCUGACAUAAGUAACGAUAAAGCGGGUGAAAAGCCCGCUCGCCGGAAGACCAAGGGUUCCUGUCCAACGUUAAUCGGGGCAGGGUGAGUCGACCCCUAAGGCGAGGCCGAAAGGCGUAGUCGAUGGGAAACAGGUUAAUAUUCCUGUACUUGGUGUUACUGCGAAGGGGGGACGGAGAAGGCUAUGUUGGCCGGGCGACGGUUGUCCCGGUUUAAGCGUGUAGGCUGGUUUUCCAGGCAAAUCCGGAAAAUCAAGGCUGAGGCGUGAUGACGAGGCACUACGGUGCUGAAGCAACAAAUGCCCUGCUUCCAGGAAAAGCCUCUAAGCAUCAGGUAACAUCAAAUCGUACCCCAAACCGACACAGGUGGUCAGGUAGAGAAUACCAAGGCGCUUGAGAGAACUCGGGUGAAGGAACUAGGCAAAAUGGUGCCGUAACUUCGGGAGAAGGCACGCUGAUAUGUAGGUGAAGCGACUUGCUCGUGGAGCUGAAAUCAGUCGAAGAUACCAGCUGGCUGCAACUGUUUAUUAAAAACACAGCACUGUGCAAACACGAAAGUGGACGUAUACGGUGUGACGCCUGCCCGGUGCCGGAAGGUUAAUUGAUGGGGUCAGCGCAAGCGAAGCUCUUGAUCGAAGCCCCGGUAAACGGCGGCCGUAACUAUAACGGUCCUAAGGUAGCGAAAUUCCUUGUCGGGUAAGUUCCGACCUGCACGAAUGGCGUAAUGAUGGCCAGGCUGUCUCCACCCGAGACUCAGUGAAAUUGAACUCGCUGUGAAGAUGCAGUGUACCCGCGGCAAGACGGAAAGACCCCGUGAACCUUUACUAUAGCUUGACACUGAACAUUGAGCCUUGAUGUGUAGGAUAGGUGGGAGGCUUUGAAGUGUGGACGCCAGUCUGCAUGGAGCCGACCUUGAAAUACCACCCUUUAAUGUUUGAUGUUCUAACGUGGACCCGUAAUCCGGGUUGCGGACAGUGUCUGGUGGGUAGUUUGACUGGGGCGGUCUCCUCCUAAAGAGUAACGGAGGAGCACGAAGGUUGGCUAAUCCUGGUCGGACAUCAGGAGGUUAGUGCAAUGGCAUAAGCCAGCUUGACUGCGAGCGUGACGGCGCGAGCAGGUGCGAAAGCAGGUCAUAGUGAUCCGGUGGUUCUGAAUGGAAGGGCCAUCGCUCAACGGAUAAAAGGUACUCCGGGGAUAACAGGCUGAUACCGCCCAAGAGUUCAUAUCGACGGCGGUGUUUGGCACCUCGAUGUCGGCUCAUCACAUCCUGGGGCUGAAGUAGGUCCCAAGGGUAUGGCUGUUCGCCAUUUAAAGUGGUACGCGAGCUGGGUUUAGAACGUCGUGAGACAGUUCGGUCCCUAUCUGCCGUGGGCGCUGGAGAACUGAGGGGGGCUGCUCCUAGUACGAGAGGACCGGAGUGGACGCAUCACUGGUGUUCGGGUUGUCAUGCCAAUGGCACUGCCCGGUAGCUAAAUGCGGAAGAGAUAAGUGCUGAAAGCAUCUAAGCACGAAACUUGCCCCGAGAUGAGUUCUCCCUGACUCCUUGAGAGUCCUGAAGGAACGUUGAAGACGACGACGUUGAUAGGCCGGGUGUGUAAGCGCAGCGAUGCGUUGAGCUAACCGGUACUAAUGAACCGUGAGGCUUAACCUU